Molecule: long non-coding RNA, 1509 nt
Filed under: Homo sapiens (human)
Lineage: Eukaryota; Metazoa; Chordata; Mammalia; Primates; Hominidae
Description: endogenous retrovirus group H member 3
Source: RNAcentral
ACUGACUUCCUUCGCACUCAGCCCACUCGCACCCGGGUGAAUAAACAGCCUUUGUUGCUCACACUUAGCCUGUUCAAGUUGUCUCUUCAAUUAGAUGCUCGCAUAACAUUUGGUGCCGAAAGCCCGGGAUAGGGGAACUCCUCCGGCAGACCUCUCCUCUAUCCUCCCGGUACCCACGUUCUCCCAUGCAAGAGACUUCCCUCGCCCUCAGGACCUCAGACCAGCUCCGCGAGCACUCCGGCCUCUGUCUAUGGAUAUGGCUAGACAUAAAAUCUGCCAAGCUGCCAAUUUCCUGUUACCUACUCCAGAGACCCAGUGAUAUGAAGACACCCUAGCUGGACUGUCAGUUCUCGUUAAGAACCUAACCCCUCAAACUCUACAACCUCUGUGGACAGGAUCCUACCUGGUCAUCUAUAGUACCCCAACAGUGGUCAGUCUACAGAAUCCUCCCCACUGGAUUCAUCGCUCCAGGAUAAAACUAUGCCCAUCUGACGACCAGCCUAGCUCCUCCACCUCCUCCUGGAAGUCACAACAUAAAAAGACAGGAAUGUAAGGUCCUCUGAGCAGGCGGCGCCAUGGUCAAGCCAUCGUGACCCCUGUGACUCACACGUACACAUCCAGAAGGUCUCCUGGAGCCAGAAAGUCUGGGACGACAGGAAAACCACAAAAGAAGAAAAACGGCUAGUUCCUGUCUUAGCUGAUCAGCCAACCUUGUGACAUUCUAUCAUUGUAACAGGCUGUACCCUAACUGAUCAAUCAACCUCAUGACACUGUGCUCUGUAACCUUAUGAUAAUGUACCUUAUGACAUUCUUCCCCUGCCCUCAAUAAACAGCUCCGAACUAUAACUUUCCACUGCUUACCCCUAAAGUAUAAAACUAGCUCCAACCCCACCACUUCCUUUUCGGACUCAGCCCACCCGCACCCAGUGAAUAAACAACCUUGUUGCUCACACUUAGCCUGUUCAGGGUGUCUCUUCAAUUAGACGCACACAUAACAGACAGAUUAACAAGAAAAACACAUACAGAUUAAUUUAAUAUAAAUUUUUUUUUAUUAUACUUUAAGUUUUAGGGUACAUGUGCACAUUGUGCAGGUUAGUUACAUAUGUAUACAUGUGCCAUGCUGGUGCGCUGCACCCACUAACUCGUCAUCUAGCAUUAGGUAUAUCUCCCAAUGCUAUCCCUCCCCCCUCCCCCCACCCCACCACAGUCCACAGAGGGUGAUAUUCCCCUUCCUGUGUCCAUGUGAUCUCAUUGUUCAAUUCCCACCUAUGAGUGAGAAUAUGUGGUGUUUGGUUUUUUGUUCUUGCGAUAGUUUACUGAGAAUGAUGAUUUCCAAUUUCAUCCAUGUCCCUACAAAGGACAUGAACUCAUCAUUUUUGAUGGCUGCAUAGUAUUCCAUGGUGUAUAUGUGCCAUAUUUUCUUAAUCCAGUCUAUCAUUGUUGGACAUUUGGGUUGGUUCCAAGUCUUUGCUAUUGUGAACAGUGCCGCAAUAAACAUACGUGUGCAUG